RNAcentral lists this ribosomal RNA (500 nucleotides) under uncultured bacterium. Its description in RNAcentral is "bacterial SSU rRNA". It matches the Rfam family "Bacterial small subunit ribosomal RNA", at positions 777 to 1285 of the family's 1533-position model. The record is from RNAcentral.
AAUAGAUACCCGGGUAGUCCNACGCCGUAAACGAUGGAUGCUAGCUAUUGGGGGGAAUCGACCCCCUCCGAAGCGAAGCUAACGCGUUAAGCAUCCCGCCUGAGUAGUACGAGCGCAAGCUUAAAACUCAAAGGAAUUGACGGGGACCCGCACAAGCGGUGGAGCGUGUGGUUUAAUUCGAUGGUAAACGAAGAACCUUACCAAGGUUUGACAUCCCGGUAGCCGUUCUCCGAAAGGAGAAUUUCAUUUAGUUGGACCGGUGACAGGUGAUGCAUGGCCGUCGUCAGCUCGUGUCGUGAGAUGUUGGGUUAAGUCCCGCAACGAGCGCAACCCUUAUGAUUUAGUUGGAUUUUUCUAAACAGACUGCCCUGGUAACAGGGAGGAAGGAGGGGAUGAUGUCAGGUCAGUAUUUCCCUUACACCUUGGGCGACACACGCGCUACAAUGGCCGGUACAAUGGGCAGCUAAGCCGCGAGGUGGAGCAAAUCCCAUCAAAGCCCG